RNAcentral lists this unclassified non-coding RNA (337 nucleotides) under soil metagenome. RNAcentral describes it as "partial contains 5.8S ribosomal RNA, internal transcribed spacer 2, and large subunit ribosomal RNA". The stretch from base 1 to 120 matches the Rfam family "5.8S ribosomal RNA", at positions 35 to 154 of the family's 154-position model. The record is from RNAcentral.
GAUGAAGAACGUAGCGAAAUGCGAUAAGUAGUGUGAAUUGCAGAAUUCAGUGAAUCAUCGAAUCUUUGAACGCACAUUGCGCCCUUUGGUAUUCCUUAGGGCAUGCCUUUUCGAGCGUCAUUUACAAAUUCAAGCUCAGCUUGGUGAUGGGUGUCUGUCCCGCCUUUGCGCGUGGACUCGCCUCAAAUGCAGUUGGCAGCUUAUCCCUCGGCUCUAAACGCAGCAGAUUUGCGUCGAGCGUCGUGUGGACGGGCUCUCCAGUAAGCAAACCCCCCAAAAUUGACCUCGGAUCAGGUAGGGAUACCCGCUGAACUUAAGCAUAUCAAUAAGCGGAGGA